AUACGGAGGAUCCGAGCGUUAUCCGGAUUUAUUGGGUUUAAAGGGUGCGCAGGCGGCCAUUUAAGUCAGCGGUUAAAUCGUGGGGCUCAACCCCAUUCUGCCGUUGAUACUGGGUGGCUUGAUUGCGGUCGAGGUUGGCGGAAUUCGUUGUGUAGCGGCGAAAUGCAUAGAUAUGACGAAGAACACCGAUUGCGUAGGCAGCUGACCAGAUCGCAAAUGACGCUCAUGCACGAAAGUGCGGGGAUCGAACAGGAUUAGAUACCCUGGUAGUCCGCACAGUAAACGAUGAAUACUUGUUUUCGGCGAUAUAAUGUCGGAGGCAAAGCGAAAGCGAUAAGUAUUCCACCUGGGGAGUACGCCGGCAACGGUGAAACUCAAAUGAAUUGACGGGG
RNAcentral lists this ribosomal RNA (392 nucleotides) under uncultured bacterium. Its description in RNAcentral is "partial 16S ribosomal RNA". It matches the Rfam family "Bacterial small subunit ribosomal RNA", at positions 523 to 918 of the family's 1533-position model. The record is from RNAcentral.